Non-coding RNA from Indicator indicator, 600 nucleotides. The record is from the annotation of a RefSeq genome assembly. NCBI's taxonomy places the organism in Eukaryota, Metazoa, Chordata, Aves, Piciformes, Indicatoridae.
AUGAGGAUGUGGACAGCUUGGUGUGUGGCCAUGUACUUCUUUGGAGCAAGAGCUAAAAUCACACAAAUCUCAAGUCUUGUGCUGAGAGAAGAUGAGAAAGCUACUCUGACAUGCAGUCAAAAUGAUAAUCACAAUUCUAUGUACUGGUAUCUGCAGCAGCCAGGGAAGGGGCUGCAACUGGUCUAUUAUUCCUUUGGUGCAAAUCAAGAAAAAGAAGGGGACAUUCACAUUGGAUACAAAGCUAAACGGUUAAGCCUCUCAGACUUCUAUCUGGAUAUCUUAUCUGUGAAGAAGAACCAUUCAGCUGUCUAUUUCUGUGCAAGUAGUUUAGACACAACACUUCAAAGACACUUGCUUUCUUUACAUAAACUUCUUUCCUUUCCAGCACCUUCCCUCAGAAGGGAGCUGCUCUCAGCACAGGAAAGUGGCACGUUGGCCAAUAACCUGUUUACAAACCAGACGCUGCUGAGGAGUUGGAGCAAGAGAGGCAGGUCUUUGCAGUGCAGGUUAAUUGCUGAACCCCUCUUUUCUGAUCAGCCAUUUAGCCUCUAUCUCAUCAGAACAAUCAAUAAGAAUUGUAAACCACAUGUAAACAUAUGA